This 253-nucleotide ribosomal RNA is filed under the name uncultured bacterium. Its description in RNAcentral is "partial 16S ribosomal RNA". It matches the Rfam family "Bacterial small subunit ribosomal RNA", at positions 524 to 776 of the family's 1533-position model. The record is from RNAcentral.
UACGAAGGGGGCUAGCGUUGCUCGGAUUGACUGGGCGUAAAGGGCGCGUAGGCGGUUCGUACAGUCAGACGUGAAAUUCCUGGGCUCAACCUGGGGGCUGCGUUCGAGACGGGUAUUCUUGAGUUCGGAAGAGGGUCGUGGAAUUCCCAGUGUAGAGGUGAAAUUCGUAGAUAUUGGGAAGAACACCGGUGGCGAAGGCGGCGACCUGGUCCGAGACUGACGCUGAGGCGCGAAAGCGUGGGGAGCAAACAGG